Non-coding RNA from Podarcis lilfordi (Lilford's wall lizard), 71 nucleotides. The record is from the annotation of a GenBank genome assembly. NCBI's taxonomy places the organism in Eukaryota, Metazoa, Chordata, Lepidosauria, Squamata, Lacertidae.
GCUGUGGUACAAUGGGUCAGUAAAUCUGGCUGUUAACCAGAAGGUUGGUGGUUCAAGUUCACCCAGGGACG